RNAcentral lists this ribosomal RNA (429 nucleotides) under Actinomycetes bacterium. RNAcentral's name for it is "Actinobacteria bacterium partial 16S ribosomal RNA". It matches the Rfam family "Bacterial small subunit ribosomal RNA", at positions 355 to 776 of the family's 1533-position model. RNAcentral also lists the same sequence under 1 other name. Lineage: Bacteria; Bacillati; Actinomycetota; Actinomycetes. The record is from RNAcentral.
UAGGGAAUCUUCCGCAAUGGGCGAAAGCCUGACGGAGCAACGCCGCGUGAGUGAUGAAGGUCUUCGGAUCGUAAAACUCUGUUAUUAGGGAAGAACAAAUGUGUAAGUAACUAUGCACGUCUUGACGGUACCUAAUCAGAAAGCCACGGCUAACUACGUGCCAGCAGCCGCGGUAAUACGUAGGUGGCAAGCGUUAUCCGGAAUUAUUGGGCGUAAAGCGCGCGUAGGCGGUUUUUUAAGUCGGAUGUGAAAGCCCACGGCUCAACCGUGGAGGGUCAUUGGAAACUGGAAAACUUGAGUGCAGAAGAGGAAAGUGGAAUUCCAUGUGUAGCGGUGAAAUGCGCAGAGAUAUGGAGGAACACCAGUGGCGAAGGCGACUUUCUGGUCUGUAACUGACGCUGAUGUGCGAAAGCGUGGGGAUCAAACAGG